Molecule: long non-coding RNA, 795 nt
Organism: Acinonyx jubatus (cheetah)
Lineage: Eukaryota; Metazoa; Chordata; Mammalia; Carnivora; Felidae
Exons: 2
Source: RefSeq, a predicted model, not a curated record
CCAUUCCACCAUCCUGUAGACAUCUGCCAGCUUAUUCUUUUUGAGCUAAAAGGAAAACUUGGGUUACUUUCAAGGGUUUCGUAAAGCAAAGACAAUCAUGCUCGCAAACUGUAAAGGAGAGAGCAUAAGGCCGCACUGUCCUAAGCCAAGAGUUAAUGUGCCAUGUUAACGAUGCAGACUUCUGCUUUGAUUAGACCCGAGCAUCAGUGUGUAUUACGUUAUGCGAUUACCAAAAUAGGUCUUCCUUUCAUGCACCUGUAGGAGCACAACCAUCACGGGGUGUUUGGCUGAGACAUGGCGUCGGGAGGGGUCUGGACACUGCCGGCUGUGAUGAGCACAGAGAGAUGAGCAGGAGACCAUCCAAUACCCAGGGCAGCUGACAGAAGCAGAGGCCUUGAUGAUUUUGCACACGCAGGCCCCCAGACCUGCUCCAGAGCAAGCCCCCAAGAGUCAGGCUUCUCUCUUGGGAGCUGCAAGAAACCCUGAUACGGCAAACGGGAGCAGAACAAAGCCAUGCCGAGAUGCAGGUGGCAACUCACACCAACUCGCUGACCUGCCCCCCGUGGCUCACAGCCUGGGACUCGAGUUCCUCUCCUGCCACAGCCAUUACACGUCAGAAAUGUGCGGGUCCUGGACAAACAGAACAGGAAAUAUUACAUCCCCGAGAGGCCACUGUCUCACCCCGACAAGAUGCAGAAGACAAAACGGAGCGGGCGGACGAACAUUUCAACAUCCACGGCACGUAUAUUCAGCUUUCUUUUUAUUUUAAUUAUAAAACAAUGGCCAAUACACAAA